Long non-coding RNA from Talpa occidentalis (Iberian mole), 2863 nucleotides. RefSeq lists it as uncharacterized. The transcript has 4 exons. Lineage: Eukaryota; Metazoa; Chordata; Mammalia; Eulipotyphla; Talpidae. The record is from RefSeq and is a predicted model, not a curated record.
UACACUGUUGCACAUAGCUACUAAGAAGACUUGGUGUUGAGAUGGGAAGGACAGAAGUCCAGGCCAGGAUGGAGGGUUAGCACAACCCAGUGAGCCAGGCCUGACAAGUGCAAGCUGGAACUAUAAGGCAGCUCUUAUGACAAAGGCAAACGAUGGCCAUUUUUUUCCUCUUUGAGAAUAUUUGGUAUUUUAUAAACUUUCUACAAUUAUAUGUUAAUUUUAGAAUCAGAAAGUACAAAAGGCUAUUUUAAAAAUGAACAAAAUUGUAAGAGGAAAAAAAGCAUUGAACUUGGAGUCUGUCUCCAAGGCUGCCUAUGAGGACCCACUCCCCUUCCCACUUCCUGGGCCUCUGGACUGCUGAACCAUUAUGCAACCUGGCACUGCCGACCCUUCCUCUUGCUCCAGUGGCCAUACUUGGCUUGAUGCCACCAAAUUGGACAGAGCAACUCUUGGUAUGUCCAGUCUGAAGUAACUAAAUCGGGACACACUGGAUUAAUUUUCCUUGGAGAAAAUAGGACAAGUCUAUGAGAAUCUUGCUUUGCAAGCCUGCUCCACGACUUGUCUCUCAAACAUGCCUGGGGGAGCGUGCUUGAGUGUUCCCGACCACCAGAGUUGGCGCCCGAACAGGGAUUGGAAACAGUAAUCAGUGCCAGGGGCACCUUCGCCAUUCCUCGAGCCAGGUGUAAGGCAUAGGACGUCCAAAUCAGUUACACAGUAGCCCCACAGACCUUGGGGUUUGCAAAAGAAUGGAAUGGAAAGAUUGAAAGAAAAGUUCACGAGGAACAUAGGAUUUUCUGAUGAAAGCUGGAGUCCAAGGAAUUGGGACCUGGGUUUCUUAGAAUGAAGUUAAGUCGGUGCACUUUCCACAUACUCUAUGGCCACCCACCUGCCAGCCUGUCACCUUCCUGGGACACCCUGGAGGCUUCACUCAACCCUGCACCUUUAAUACCAGUUCAUGCUCCUGUGCAACUGUCUGCAAGGUCUCAAUCCUCCCUCAGUGAAGUGCUUCAGUGUCCUUGGAGGGAAUGUGGUCUAAGCUCCAAGGAUGAAUAUGGAGUGGGUAAGAGUCACAAUGUUGACUGAAUGAAGUAAGAGAGAUAUUGAAAGGUGAACCGCACACAGGAGAGAACUUGACCUUGCACCCUGACCACAUGUCUACUUAUAUCCACUAUUUGGGUGCAUACUGGCUCAUCAAUGGUUGAGAAGGGAUCACUUUGGAGGAGACUGAGAGGGGCAACAAAGAUAGCAGAGAAUUCAGCACACUCGUUAAAUUACAACCUCCUUUGAAGAACUCGUCAGUCUAUACCAGCAUCUUGAGAUGCGUGGACCCUAAAAUGCUCUGAGUGACAGUCCUCACUUUUCUCUACUUCCGGGCAUCCAAGGCACUUCCUACUUGCAGAAAACAAACUUGGUGCUCACUGUAUAUAAUCACUGCACUUUCAUCAACCUUCCUCUUUCAACUUGCAUCACCAGUGUCCACCCUCUGACCUGGUUUACAGAGCUCUCGCUCUCUUUCAUCCAGGUCCUAAGUUCCACCCAUGAAUUCUUUGUGUGUCUGUGUUUCCUGACUAAUUUGAAGAGAGACAGCACGCGUGGACUGUGCUUUUCUGCCCUCUGUACUCCCUUCUCCAUUCUAGGCACAUGUUUCAUAGGAUUGCUGGAUGCUAAGUGACUAUAAAGAUGAAUUAGAUAUGAUUUCUGUCCUCUAGGAGUUCACAGCUUAGGAGGAGGAAUAAGCAAUAUGUAUCUAGUAGUAGCCUAGUAGUAACUGGGCUACUAGGUGAAAAAUAAUAAAUUUGGCAAGAAAACUAAAGAAAAAGUGUUAUGAGAUUCAGAGGAAGAAAGAACCAUGGUCUGGGGAAAAAGAAGUGGAGGGGAAUUUUUCUUAAAGAACAGAUGGAAUAAGAUAUGAGUUGUGGUAGGAGGGGAAGGAUGAGGGGUGUCACUGCAAAAAAGUAUAACAUGGGCCACCAAAACAAGUGCCUGGUGGUGCAAGGGGUGUGGAUAGUGAAAGCUGAAAAAUAUAGUGUGGAUUCUUCCUUGUGCAUUGCUAUACAGUCUAAUUCAGUGGAUCCCAAUUUUUGCUGCAUAUUUGAAUCACAUCAGGACUUUGAAAAUCAUAAUGUUCAGACUAGACCAGACAAAGAAUAUAAAGUAUCUGUAAGUGAUAACCAGGCAUUAGUACUUCUUUUUUUAGUUCUUCCAUUGUUUAAAAUGUAACCAGGGACCAGAACCAGUGUUAAAUGACCAUAUCUUGGGGCCUCCCUGGUGGCACAAAAGGUUAAACGUCAGCACUACGAAGCUACCUGCAACCACUGGAGCAGAUUUUCGAUCCCUGGCCAGGGUAGUGACCCACAUGGCACAGCAGACCUCUCCUGUCUGGCCUGCUCCCCUUAGCAGUGUAUUUCAGUCAAUUCACCUGUUCUGUUUCCCACUCAGAUAUACAUACAUUUUUGAUUAGUAACAAGUAAGGAUGUUUGUGCAAAAUAUCUCAAAGUAUGAAAUUCAUCCAGGCAAGAGCAGAAUGACUACCUUGAACACCCAGACUCUAGGCCACUACCUUUCAUUUUUAAAUAUGCACACACGCGGGCCUCCCCUAGUGGCUCAGGUGGUUGAGCACAGCGCUGUGAAGCUGUCCGCAGCCUCUGCAGUGCCAGUUCGAUCCCGGCCGGCCAGCAAGGGUCCCACAUGGCACAGCAGACCUCUCCUGUCAUGACUGCUGCUCCCCUCAGCAGUGUAUUUCAUCAGUCUGCCUGUUCUCUGUUCCCUGCUCUGUCUCUGGUGAAUCCUCUCACCCUCCCGCGAAUCUGGCCUGUACCCCAGUUCUUGUAUAAAUAAAAAAAAUCUUUAAAAUAAAAUAAAU